CUGAGGCGUGACGACGAGGCACUACGGUGCUGAAGCAACAAAUGCCCUGCUUCCAGGAAAAGCCUCUAAGCAUCAGGUAACAUCAAAUCGUACCCCAAACCGACACAGGUGGUCAGGUAGAGAAUACCAAGGCGCUUGAGAGAACUCGGGUGAAGGAACUAGGCAAAAUGGUGCCGUAACUUCGGGAGAAGGCACGCUGACACGUAGGUGAAGUGAUUUACUCAUGGAGCUGAAGUCAGUCGAAGAUACCAGCUGGCUGCAACUGUUUAUUAAAAACACAGCACUGUGCAAACACGAAAGUGGACGUAUACGGUGUGACGCCUGCCCGGUGCCGGAAGGUUAAUUGAUGGGGUCAGCGCAAGCGAAGCUCCUGAUCGAAGCCCCGGUAAACGGCGGCCGUAACUAUAACGGUCCUAAGGUAGCGAAAUUCCUUGUCGGGUAAGUUCCGACCUGCACGAAUGGCGUAAUGAUGGCCAGGCUGUCUCCACCCGAGACUCAGUGAAAUUGAACUCGCUGUGAAGAUGCAGUGUACCCGCGGCAAGACGGAAAGACCCCGUGAACCUUUACUAUAGCUUGACACUGAACAUUGAGCCUUGAUGUGUAGGAUAGGUGGGAGGCUUUGAAGUGUGGACGCCAGUCUGCAUGGAGCCGACCUUGAAAUACCACCCUUUAAUGUUUGAUGUUCUAACGUGGACCCGUAAUCCGGGUUGCGGACAGUGUCUGGUGGGUAGUUUGACUGGGGCGGUCUCCUCCUAAAGAGUAACGGAGGAGCACGAAGGUUGGCUAAUCCUGGUCGGACAUCAGGAGGUUAGUGCAAUGGCAUAAGCCAGCUUGACUGCGAGCGUGACGGCGCGAGCAGGUGCGAAAGCAGGUCAUAGUGAUCCGGUGGUUCUGAAUGGAAGGGCCAUCGCUCAACGGAUAAAAGGUACUCCGGGGAUAACAGGCUGAUACCGCCCAAGAGUUCAUAUCGACGGCGGUGUUUGGCACCUCGAUGUCGGCUCAUCACAUCCUGGGGCUGAAGUAGGUCCCAAGGGUAUGGCUGUUCGCCAUUUAAAGUGGUACGCGAGCUGGGUUUAGAACGUCGUGAGACAGUUCGGUCCCUAUCUGCCGUGGGCGCUGGAGAACUGAGGGGGGCUGCUCCUAGUACGAGAGGACCGGAGUGGACGCAUCACUGGUGUUCGGGUUGUCAUGCCAAUGGCACUGCCCGGUAGCUAAAUGCGGAAGAGAUAAGUGCUGAAAGCAUCUAAGCACGAAACUUGCCCCGAGAUGAGUUCUCCCUGAGAC
Molecule: ribosomal RNA, 1284 nt
Filed under: Salmonella enterica subsp. enterica serovar Mbandaka str. 2009K-0807
Lineage: Bacteria; Pseudomonadati; Pseudomonadota; Gammaproteobacteria; Enterobacterales; Enterobacteriaceae
Description: bacterial LSU rRNA
Rfam family: Bacterial large subunit ribosomal RNA
Source: RNAcentral